CCAAUAUUGAUGUGUAAAAUCUGAUGUGGACUUAAAUAUCUAUUAUAAAAUCAAAAUACAUAAAUUGAAAAUAUAAAAAUCCUAAAAUAUUAUCUCUCCAUCGCCGCCUCCCAAGAUGUCAUCUUCCACAUCUACCAACCUCAAAUUCUCAAUCGUUUUUUAUCUUCCUCCUGUCUCGUAACAAGUGAAUUUAUGAACUCAUCCUUUUUCUUCUUCCUGUUUUGCCCGCUUUCUCUUUUUCUUUCUUUUCUUGUUAUGUAAAUCCAACCAACUCUGAUGGGAAAUCGAAAAUUUACUGGCGAGCCUCACAACAACGGGUUGAGGCAGCUACGGCCCAUAGCCUCCCCUCACCCCCCACACCCCUCCCUUGAGAAUCCGAAUCGAGAUCUAUGAAGAAAUCAGUAGUGCUAAAGACUCAAUUGGAGCCAUGGUAGUCAACAUCAGAGAGAUGCUUCAGAUUUGAAGAUUUUCGUCAAGCUUCUUUGUAAAUCGAUUGAAGGUGGGAUUGAAUGUGACUGCGGGAGAAAAAGGAUACCGGAGAUCGAUUUGAUUUUGGGGCAGGGGAUGAUACGGAGGAAGAAAUAGCCGAAGAUACAAGAAGAAGAUAGUUGUUUGUUAUUAUUUUUAUUUGUACUUAUUUCAUAAAUAUUGUUUUCUAUUUAAUUUAGCUCUAUAUUAAUUUUUUAUUCUAAUGAAAAUGUAACAUACAUCUGUUGUGGUAUCUUUUGAUCGUUUAUUAUCUGAAUGAAAGUGUAAUGUGAUGUGGUAUUUAUUUGACCGAACAAACGAAUGUCAUGUUAUUUUUGUUUGGUUUGUCAUUAACGGUAUCAAAAAUUUUGGUCAACGGGUUAGAACUGUGAAAGGACUGAAAUUAUUAGUCAAAUUAUCG
RNAcentral lists this long non-coding RNA (889 nucleotides) under Linum usitatissimum (flax). RNAcentral describes it as "long non-coding RNA (LUSI_LNC005590)". The record is from RNAcentral. Lineage: Eukaryota; Viridiplantae; Streptophyta; Magnoliopsida; Malpighiales; Linaceae.